GCCCUUUUAACUCAGUGGUAGAGUGUCAGUCUUCUACUGGUCCGUGUGGCCGGCAAGGAUAACUGAAAGUCGUGAGUUCGACCCUCACAAGGGGCU
Molecule: non-coding RNA, 96 nt
Organism: Chytridium lagenaria
Lineage: Eukaryota; Fungi; Chytridiomycota; Chytridiomycetes; Chytridiales; Chytridiaceae
Source: the annotation of a GenBank genome assembly